This 2893-nucleotide ribosomal RNA is filed under the name human oral metagenome. Its description in RNAcentral is "bacterial LSU rRNA". It matches the Rfam family "Bacterial large subunit ribosomal RNA". The record is from RNAcentral.
AGAGCAAGUGGUGGAUGCCUUGGCUAGUAGAGGCGAUGAAAGACGUGCCAGGCUGCGAUAAGUCUCGGGGAGCCGUCAAGGGGCUUUGAUCCGGGAAUUUCUGAAUGGGGCAACCCAACUAAUAGAGAUAUUAGUUACCGUAUAACGGAGCGAACGAGGGGAAUUGAAACAUCUUAGUACCCUCAGGAAAAGAAAUCAAAAGAGAUUACGCUAGUAGCGGCGAGCGAACGCGUAAGAGGGCAAACCACUAGUUUACUAGUGGGGUUGUAGGACUGCAAUAUAGACUAAACUUAGCUAAUAGAACAACCUGGAAAGGUUAGGCACAGAGGGUGAUACCCCCGUAUAUGAAAGCUUUGUUUUACUUAGCAGUAUCCUGAGUAGGGCGGAACACGUGAUAUUCUGUCUGAAGCUGGGUAGACCACUAUCCAACCCUAAAUACUACUACUAGACCGAUAGUGCACAAGUACCGUGAGGGAAAGGUGAAAAGAACUGAGGUGAUCAGAGUGAAAUAGAACCUGAAACCAUUUGCUUACAAUCAUUCAGAGCCCUAUGAUUUAUCAGGGUGAUGGACUGCCUUUUGCAUAAUGAGCCUGCGAGUUGUGAUGUCUGGCGAGGUUAAGGAAACCCGGAGCCGUAGCGAAAGCGAGUCUUAAUAGGGCGUUUAGUCAGAUGCUGCAGACCCGAAACGAUGUGAUCUAUCCAUGAGCAGGUUGAAACCGGUGUAAGAGCCGGUGGAGGACCGAACCCGCUAGCGUUGAAAAGCUAUGGGAUGACUUGUGGAUAGGGGUGAAAGGCCAAUCAAACAUCGUGAUAGCUGGUUCUCUCCGAAAUAUAUUUAGGUAUAGCGUCAUGUAGUAACACUAGGGGGUAGAGCACUGAAUGGGCUAGGGCAUACACCAAUGUACCAAACCCUAUCAAACUCCGAAUACCUAGUGUGUAAUCAUGGCAGUCAGGCGGCGAGUGAUAAAAUCCGUCGUCGAGAGGGGAACAACCCAGACUAACAGCUAAGGUCCCUAAAUCUCAUUUAAGUGGAAAACGAUGUGGAGUUACUUAAACAACCAGGAGGUUGGCUUAGAAGCAGCCAUCCUUUAAAGAAAGCGUAAUAGCUCACUGGUCUAGUGAUUCUGCGCGGAAAAUAUAACGGGGCUAAAAUGAGUACCGAAGCUUUAGACUUAGUUUUACUAAGUGGUAGGAGAGCGUUGUAUUUGCGUUGAAGGUAUACCGGUAAGGAGUGCUGGAGCGAAUACAAGUGAGCAUGCAGGCAUGAGUAGCGAUAAUUGGGGUGAGAAUCCCCAACGCCGUAAACCCAAGGUUUCCUACGCGAUGCUCGUCAUCGUAGGGUUAGCCGGGUCCUAAGCAAAGUCCGAAAGGGGUAUGCGAUGGAAAAUUGGUUAAUAUUCCAAUGCCAACUAUAAUGUGCGAUGGAAGGACGCUUAGAGUUAGAGGAGCCAGCGGAUGGUAGUGCUGGUCGAAAGGUGUAGGUUAAGAUCCAGGCAAAUCCGGAUCUUUUUAAGCCGAGACCCCACAGGCACACAAAGUUCUUCGGAACAGCGUGUGAAUCCUUGAUACUGUCGAGCCAAGAAAAGUUUCUAAGUUUAGUUAUAGUUGCCCGUACCGUAAACCGACACAGGUGGGUGGGAUGAGUAUUCUAAGGCGCGUGGAAGAACUCUCUUCAAGGAACUCUGCAAAAUAGCACCGUAUCUUCGGUAUAAGGUGUGCCUAACUUUGUGAAGGAUUUACUCCGUAAGCAUUGAAGGUUACAACAAAGAGUCCCUCCCGACUGUUUACCAAAAACACAGCACUCUGCUAACUCGUAAGAGGAUGUAUAGGGUGUGACGCCUGCCCGGUGCUCGAAGGUUAAUUGAUGACGUUAGCUCUGCGAAGCGUUUGAUCGAAGCCCGAGUAAACGGCGGCCGUAACUAUAACGGUCCUAAGGUAGCGAAAUUCCUUGUCGAUUAAAUAUCGACCUGCAUGAAUGGCGUAACGAGAUGGGAGCUGUCUCGAAGAGGGAUCCAGUGAAAUUGUAGUGGAGGUGAAAAUUCCUCCUACCCGCGGCAAGACGGAGAGACCCCGUGGACCUUUACUACAGCUUGACACUGCUAUUGGGAUAAAAAUGUGCAGGAUAGGCGGGAGGCUUUGAUCCAUAGACGCCAGUUUAUGGUGAGCCAUUGUUGAGAUACCGCUCUUUUUUAUUCUGAUAGCUAACUAGCUUGAGUUAUCCUCAAGUAGGACAAUGUCUGGUGGGUAGUUUGACUGGGGCGGUCGCCUCCCAAAAUGUAACGGAGGCUUACAAAGGUUGGCUCAGAACGGUUGGAAAUCGUUCGUAGAGUAUAAAGGCAUAAGCCAGCUUAACUGCGAGACAUACACGUCAAGCAGAGACGAAAGUCGGUCUUAGUGAUCCGGUGGUUCUGUAUGGAAGGGCCAUCGCUCAAAGGAUAAAAGGUACUCCGGGGAUAACAGGCUGAUCCCUCCCAAGAGCUCAUAUCGACGGAGUGGUUUGGCACCUCGAUGUCGGCUCGUCACAUCCUGGGGCUGGAGAAGGUCCCAAGGGUUGGGCUGUUCGCCCAUUAAAGUGGCACGCGAGCUGGGUUCAGAACGUCGUGAGACAGUUCGGUCUCUAUCUGUUGUGGGCGUUUGAGAUUUGAGGGGGCCUGACACUAGUACGAGAGGACCGUGUUGGACGAACCGCUGGUUUAUCGGUUAUGCCGCCAGGCGUAUUGCCGAGUAGCUACGUUCGGUUGAGAUAAGUGCUGAAAGCAUCUAAGUACGAAGCUUGCCUCAAGAUUAGAUCUCAUUAUAAGGGUGGUUAUAGACGAUGACCUUGAUAGGCUACAGGUGUAAAGGCGGUGACGUCAUAGCCGAGUAGUACUAAUUGCCCGAAAGUUUUUGCCUG